GACGAACGCUGGCGGCGUGCUUAAUACAUGCAAGUCGAACGGAAAGGCCCUGCUUUUGUGGGGUGCUCGAUUGGCGAACGCGUGAGUAACACGUGAGUAACCUGCCCUUGACUUUGUGAUAACAUCAGGAAACAGGGGCUCAUACCGGAUAGAAGCUCCUGCUGCAUGGGGGGGGUUGGAAAGAUUCGGCGGUUGGGGAUGUACUGGCGGGUUAUGAGCUGGUUGGGGGGGUAGUGGCAGACGAAGGGUUUGACGGGUAGGCGGCGUGGGAGGGUGGACGGGCACCAGGGGCCUGAGAUAGGGAGCAGUAGGCAAUCGGACGCAGCAGGGGAGAGUCUUGCGCAAUGGGCGGGAGUGUGAGGCAGCGGCGCUGCGUGCGGGAUGCCGUGCUUCGGGUUGUAAACAACUUUCGAAGGUAACGAAGCGGGAGUGACGGUACCGGGUAAGGAAGCACCGGCUAACUACGUG
RNAcentral lists this ribosomal RNA (468 nucleotides) under uncultured bacterium. RNAcentral describes it as "partial 16S ribosomal RNA". It matches the Rfam family "Bacterial small subunit ribosomal RNA", at positions 28 to 507 of the family's 1533-position model. The record is from RNAcentral.